Molecule: non-coding RNA, 3408 nt
Organism: Tetranychus urticae (two-spotted spider mite)
Lineage: Eukaryota; Metazoa; Arthropoda; Arachnida; Trombidiformes; Tetranychidae
Source: RefSeq, a predicted model, not a curated record
ACUUGUUGUGUGUGUUUUUUUGUAAUAAUUGUGUGAAUUAUGUUGCUCUUGGUUACACUCCUUUCAGUGAUUAGGAAGACAAUUAGAUUGCCCUAAUUAAACUGUUAAUUUUCCUUUUCCUUUAACAGCAUCUUGUUGGUAUUUUUUAUUAAUCUUUAACCUGAUUUGUUUCAUUGUAAAUCAUAUUCAAUGAUUGUUAUCAGUACUUGAAUUUGGAAUCAGCGAUUUAGCCUUUUUCCUUGUGCUUUAACAGACGUUGCUUUUACAUCAUAACUAUGUAAAACAUCUUUCACCUUUUAAUUGUUAACUGUCCAGUAACAAUCAAUUUGAUUAUGUGUUAACAAAACAACGGCAACAUUAAUUUUACCUUUAUUUUUGUUGCUGCUUUUGUCUUUCAAUUGAUUUAUUGUUGUUAUUUAUUUUGCUGCUACAACUUUUGAUGGUUUAUUCAGUUUAUCUGACAUUAUUCUGAUAUCAUUUUGCUCUUGAUUAAUUUAGAUUAAUGCCAUUGACUUACAAUUAAAAUUGUAAUUCUCAUUGUUUUUACCUUUUUUUUCCUGUUCUGAAUUACUUAAGUGCCAUCUAUUGAUGUAUUAUUUAGUGAAUAGAUUUGAAACAUAUUUUUACUAGUUUAAUUAACGGUUAAACAAAAAGUGAUUAAUGGACUAAUGAUGAUUGACUGUUGAAAGGAUAAAACAUUGGUGGUUAGCGAGGUUAAUCAGGUGAUAGAUAGACAAUGGAAAUGAAGCUUGGUUUUAACCAUUUCUGUCUAACGUUUCUGUUUUGGUUGCGCUGGCUAGUUGGACUUUUAUUGAUUGCUUUUGGUCAAGCCAGGCAGACAAUGUGAGGAUUUCAAUGUGUCCUUAUCUUUUGGUUAAUGCUUUGGUGCGCUGGUUUAUUACUAAUUGGUUGUAAUGUUAUCUAAUAACUUGUGGAAUGACUUGGCUAACAAAACUUUUUUUUUGUCUACUCUACUGGUGGAAAACCCUGUCAUGCUGUCCCUUUAGGUUGACUCGUAAUCAUUAGGUCAAGUUACAUGGACAAGAGUAGGUCAACCAACCUAAAAUAUUCAGAGCUAUGGGUCAUUACAAAGUCCGUUAAGAAAAAUCAACAUUAGCUACCAUGAGGCCGACCAAAGGAAAGUCCAGAAAUUAUUCUUUGUUUCUGUGGUCAAUCAUUUAAGUUUAAAUAGCCUUGAGACUUGAACCAAAAAGAAGGAGAAGAAGAAGAAGAAGAAGAAAUGAUGAUGGCGAGGAGGGAAAAGUCUAAGUAACUUGAGUAUCUUACUCUUACAUCUUAUAUAAUAUUAUUUGUUGAAGUAAAGACCAAAGACCUUGAACUGCCCUUUGGCUUAGGACCAUUUCUUUGUAACACUAUUUUAAGGUUUUCCUCUUUUCUUCUUUCUAAGAUUAUUUUCUCAGGACUUUCUUCCUCUUUCCCUCUCUUCCCUCUCUUUCCUUUCUCUCUGUCUCUCUUUCUAUCACUCGCUCUUCUCUUUCUUUUCUUUCUUCCCCAAAGUCUUAGUAUUUUCUUGCAAGAAAAUAAAAAACUCAAGUAUAAUAUUCGCUUUACCGUUUUUUAUUUUUCUCCUCUCUUUCACCUCUCUUCCAGUCCUUUGAGUGGUUAGUUGAUAUUGAAGGUAAUCAAAAAUCUCAAAGAUUUCAGCAUCAUUCGUCUUGAAUGACUCCCAUUAUUUAACCUUUUAUGAUGGAAAUUUAUAAUUGAAUUUGUAAAUUUGUUUAUGCAGUCCACAUCAAUUGAUCCAGGAAAAAUCAAAGUCCAUAUAUACAUACACACACACACGAUGCAAUCUGUGGUUUAAUAUUAAUGAUGUUGGCUGUUAGUGAGGGAAAAAAUCCACCACUUCUGAUAAACUUAAAGCCAUAUGAUACAUAAAGGAUGGAAACAGAUCUUGCAAAGUUGAUAGCCAAACAAAGUUUCAUUUAACCAUUUACUACUUGAUAAUCUCGGACAUUAUUCACAAUAAUCAGUAAUUAACUUGUCAGAUAAAUUGGCUUGGCUUUUGUAGGCGUUAUUUGAUUAAAACAAUUGGUGAAAAUUGGUGAACGCCAUUUGAAAACAUAUUGGCUCAAGAAUCAUUUUAGGUUAAUAACGACGUUAAUAAUUAUCAUUAGCAUUACUAUUAUGGUUAUUAUCAUUCACCAUUAUUCACAAGGACAUCAUAAUAACCAUUUAAUACGGGUUAAAACAUUAAAUUGUGAAGAUGAUCGCCAUCAUCAUGUUCAUCAUAAGGCUGCUCAAACGAUUCUCCGGUAAACAUGAAGCUCAACCUGAAUAAAUUGGGGGAAAAGAUUAGAUAACGUAUCAAUGUUACUCAAAUAACCAAAUGUGGCUUACUAGUUGGAUUUGUAAAUAUAAAAGGUGAAUUCAAUUAUUUACACGAAAAAUGGUGAAAAAAUGGUGGAAUCUAUUGGAAUAAGUGACCUUUAAUUAGUUGCCGAACGUCAAGAUAACAAUUUUUUAUCCAAAUAUUUAUACAUUCUUGAUUAAUCAAACCUUACAAAUAAACUGGAAAAGGAUUGCUCAAUUGGAGGGUCACUUUGAAGGCACUUAGCUAAACAACUGUCUGUAUAAUAACAUCGUUUGAGACUUAAUUAACAAGACAAUUUGGAAAGGGUCACUUUAUUUUAAAAUGUCAAUCAAAAUGAUCAUUGGCUAUUAACAAUCAAAAUACCAAAGGGAAAGCAAAAGUUAAACGUGACUAGUUCAUUUUUUGUGGAUUAAGAUAAUUGCUGUGUAUCAAUUUCUCCCUUUACCUAAUGAUUGGUACAUAAAUUCAGUCUUCUAUCUCUCUUUACUCAUCAUCAUCAUCAUCAUCAUCAUCAUCCAUGGCCAUUUGAUGCAAUAUAAUUUGGUGUGUGUGUGUGAAUCAACACGGUGGAUAGUUAAUAAGGGAAGAUGGUUAAUAGUUAUUCAAGUUAACCUCGAUAAAUUAUUAAACUGGACUGGACUCUGGUUUGCUGUUGUUUUUGUUGCCAGUAAAUUUAUCGAUCAAGUAACAAUUAAAAAAAAGAGAAGAGGCCAAGACAGUAAUAAGAAAGUAAUGAUGGUGAUGGUGAAAACAAGAAAGUAGCCCAGUGAAACACAUAACCAGAACAUGGAUGAAGCCAGGGGCACACUGAGAGUGGGGAGUGGUUUAGAGUUGAUAAAAUCAUUUCGGAUGAUUAAAGUAAAGAUAUUUAAAGAGUAACAGAGUAGCAAAGGUAAAUUUGGAAAGGGAUGGUCAUCUGAAUGCAUAACUUGGAUGGACUUGCUUGGCCUCUCCUGAGCUUCUUGAUACUUUUUUCUCUCUCUCUCUCUCUCCCUCUUCUUUCCUCUCUGAAGGAGAAAGAUAAAUUGUAAUACAAGUAUUUAUAAAGAGAGUAAAAAUGAAUGAAAAAAGAGAAA